UUGGAGGGCAAGUCUGGUGCCAGCAGCCGCGGUAAUUCCAGCUCCAAUAGCGUAUAUUAAAGUUGUUACAGUUAAAAAGCUCGUAGUUGAAUUUCGGGACCAAUUUGUUGGUCGUGCCUCGGUACGUACUGGUAUUAUUGGUUUCUCCCUUCUGAAGAACCUCGAUGUCAUUAAUUUGGUGUCGUGGGGAAUCAGGACUGUUACUUUGAAAAAAUUAGAGUGUUUAAAGCAGGCAUACGCUUGAAUACAUUAGCAUGGAAUAAUGAAAUAGGACGUUUGAUUCUAUUUUGUUGGUUUCUAGGAUCGACGUAAUGAUUAAUAGGGAUAGUUGGGGGCAUUAGUAUUCAAUUGUCAGAGGUGAAAUUCUUGGAUUUAUUGAAGACUAACUACUGCGAAAGCAUUUGCCAAGGAUGUUUUCAUUAAUCAAGAACGAAAGUUAGGGGAUCGAAGACGAUCAGAUACCGUCGUAGUCUUAACCAUAAACUAUGCCGACUAGGGAUCGGAUGAUGUUAAUUUUUUAAUGACUCAUUCGGCGCCUUACGGGAAACCAAAGUGUUUGGGUUC
RNAcentral lists this ribosomal RNA (564 nucleotides) under uncultured Glomeromycotina. RNAcentral's name for it is "SSU rRNA". It matches the Rfam family "Eukaryotic small subunit ribosomal RNA", at positions 548 to 1114 of the family's 1831-position model. Lineage: Eukaryota; Fungi; Glomeromycota. The record is from RNAcentral.